Molecule: long non-coding RNA, 498 nt
Organism: Patella vulgata (common limpet)
Lineage: Eukaryota; Metazoa; Mollusca; Gastropoda; Patellidae
Exons: 4
Source: RefSeq, a predicted model, not a curated record
GAAAGAUAGGAUACGGAAUGUCUUCAUCUUGUAGGCACGAAUUAGUCUAGUAACGAAUUGACACACAUAGCGGAAAUGGUUAAAGUUAUCUCCCGUUCGUUAGAGGGCAUCUGAGACAUCCAUUUUAUAUUAGAAGCGAGGAUCUUGCUGUAUAGUCAAGAUGCAGGCCGGAGGGCAACCAAUGAAGUAUCCUUAUACAAUUGCUGCUAAACUACAGCAGUUUCCAUGGAAAUUUCACUGGAAAAAUGGUCGAUUUAUUAGGUUCACUGCAUAUACAUGGCUUAUAUGUUUACCAAUUUUCUAUAAGAUUCACAAAGGAGCUAAUUCACCUGGAAACGUCCGCACAUGGGAUGCCAUAAGGAAGAAACGUGAUCAUACACACUUUGAUCCAGUACACGAAUAGACUAUAGACAGUGUAAAAAAAAUUAUGGAAUCAUUAGAACAUGUUUGAUACUAUAUUCGAAUUAGAAAAUCUAUUUAAUAAAAAUUAAAACAUUU